GACGAACGCUGGCGGCGUGCCUAAUACAUGCAAGUCGAGCGAAUCAGAUGGGAGCUUGCUCCCGGAUGAUUAGCGGCGGACGGGUGAGUAACACGUGGGCAACCUGCCCGUAAGAUUGGGAUAACUCCGGGAAACCGUGCUAAUACCGAAUAGUUUCUGACACCUCAUGGUGUCAGAGGGAAAGUUGGCUUUCGAGCUAACACUUACGGAUGGGCCCGCGGCGCAUUAGCUAGUUGGUGAGGUAACGGCUCACCAAGGCGACGAUGCGUAGCCGACCUGAGAGGGUGAUCGGCCACACUGGGACUGAGACACGGCCCAGACUCCUACGGGUGGCAG
This 336-nucleotide ribosomal RNA is filed under the name uncultured Bacillota bacterium. RNAcentral's name for it is "bacterial SSU rRNA". It matches the Rfam family "Bacterial small subunit ribosomal RNA", at positions 28 to 351 of the family's 1533-position model. Lineage: Bacteria; Bacillati; Bacillota. The record is from RNAcentral.